AGUGAACGCUGGCGGUAGGCCUAACACAUGCAAGUCGAACGGCAGCACAGUAAGAGCUUGCUCUUACGGGUGGCGAGUGGCGGACGGGUGAGGAAUACAGCGGAAUCUACUUUUUCGUGGGGGAUAACGUAGGGAAACGUACGCUAAUACCGCAUACGACCUAAGGGUGAAAGCAGGGGAUCUUCGGACCUUGCGCGAUUGAAUGAGCCGAUGUCGGAUUAGCUAGUUGGCGGGGUAAAGGCCCACCAAGGCGACGGUCCGUAGCUGGUCUGAGAGGAUGAUCAGCCACACUGGAACUGAGACACGGGCCAGACUCCUACGGGAGGCAGCAGUGGGGAAUAUUGGACAAUGGGCGCAAGCCUGAUCCAGCCAUACCGCGUGGGUGAAGAAGGCCUUCGGGUUGUAAAGCCCUUUUGUUGGGAAAGAAAAGCAGCACGUUAACACCCCGUUGUUCUGACGUUACUCAAAGAAGAAUCGCGGGCUAACUUCGUG
RNAcentral lists this ribosomal RNA (492 nucleotides) under uncultured bacterium. RNAcentral describes it as "partial 16S ribosomal RNA". It matches the Rfam family "Bacterial small subunit ribosomal RNA", at positions 29 to 507 of the family's 1533-position model. The record is from RNAcentral.